RNAcentral lists this ribosomal RNA (305 nucleotides) under uncultured bacterium. RNAcentral describes it as "bacterial SSU rRNA". It matches the Rfam family "Bacterial small subunit ribosomal RNA", at positions 335 to 656 of the family's 1533-position model. The record is from RNAcentral.
CGGCCUACGGGACGCAGCAGUGGGGAAUAUUGCACAAUGGGGGAAACCCUGAUGCAGCGACGCCGCGUGAGUGAAGAAGUAUUUCGGUAUGUAAAGCUCUAUCAGCAGGGAAGAAAAAAGACGGUACCUGACUAAGAAGCCCCGGCUAAAUACGUGCCAGCAGCCGCGGUAAUACGUAUGGAGUAAGCGUUAUCCGGAUUUACUGGGUGUAAAGGGAGCGCAGACGGCAGGGCAAGUCUGAUGUGAAAGUCCGGGGCUCAACCCCGGGACUGCAUUGGAAACUGUCCGGCUAGAGUGCAGGAGAG